RNAcentral lists this ribosomal RNA (464 nucleotides) under uncultured bacterium. Its description in RNAcentral is "partial 16S ribosomal RNA". It matches the Rfam family "Bacterial small subunit ribosomal RNA", at positions 28 to 507 of the family's 1533-position model. The record is from RNAcentral.
GACGAACGCUGGCGGCGUGCUUAACACAUGCAAGUCGAACGGAAAGGCCCUGCUUGCAGGGUACUCGAGUGGCGAACGGGUGAGUAACACGUGGGUGAUCUGCCCUGCACUUCGGGAUAAGCCUGGGAAACUGGGUCUAAUACCGGAUAGGAGCCAUUUUUAGUGUGAUGGUUGGAAAGUUUUUUCGGUGUAGGAUGAGCUCGCGGUCUAUCAGCUUGUUGGUGGGGUAAUGGCCUACCAAGGCGGCGACGGGUAGCCGGCCUGAGAGGGUGGACGGCCACAUUGGGACUGAGAUACGGCCCAGACUCCUACGGGAGGCAGCAGUGGGGAAUAUUGCACAAUGGGCGCAAGCCUGAUGCAGCGACGCCGCGUGGGGGAUGACGGCCUUCGGGUUGUAAACUCCUUUCGCUAGGGACGAAGCUUUUGUGACGGUACCUAGAUAAGAAGCACCGGCUAACUACGUG